This is a long non-coding RNA of Diceros bicornis minor, 4859 nucleotides long. RefSeq lists it as uncharacterized. The transcript has 4 exons. Lineage: Eukaryota; Metazoa; Chordata; Mammalia; Perissodactyla; Rhinocerotidae. The record is from RefSeq and is a predicted model, not a curated record.
ACGGUGAAGCGGGCGCGGAGAGCCGGGCGGGCCGGGGCCUCUGGGCUCACCGUCUUCCUCCGCUGCGGGGGCCGAAGGGACGGGUGGGCGGCCGAGUGCGGCGCGCGUUUGUUCGUCCAUUCAACAAAUAGGUAAAAUAGGUAUGAGGCACCUACCCGGUGCCGGGUGUCGCUUGGGCCUGGGGGGUCUAGUGGACAUGUCCGCUGAGGUCCCAGCUCGUGUUCCAGGGGAGAAGGAAGAGGACAACAGACAGAUUCAGAAGGUGGCAGGAAUCUUUGAGGUGCCUGCUGCCCAAGUGUGAAUGGAGGAAACAAGCAGACAAGAGGGCGACACCCCCAAACUAUCAGAGAUUCCAAGGGUCCCAUGCAAGACUUCAACCCUACCUGGAGGUGACUCUAGGGAUCAAGGUGAGCUGAAAGAUGGCAGCCUACCCUCACAAGGUCCAUUUUCUCACAUAAAACAAGUCUGGAGGUUGGCAGUCUAAGGCUGAUAAGACCACCUGUGGUCAUCGGGACCCAGGUUCCUUCUAUUUGUCCCUUGUCCCUUCCGAGUAUGUGGCUUCUAUCCUAAGGUCAGUCACCUCAGGGUCUAAAAUGGCUGCUGGACUUCCAGUCAUCAUGUUAGCCUGGAAGGAGAAAAAUGGAGAAGCAAAGGGUUUACAUCUCAUUGGCCAGAAUUUAGGGUGUUGAUUACACCUAGCUGCAAGGGAGGCUGGGAAAUGUAGUUUUUUCAGCUGAGGUCUUAGCCCAGGACUCUGUAGUGAGACAGAAGGAGGAAUGGAUGUUGGAAGGCAGUUUAGUCACCUAUAUCCCAGGAUAUUAAUAGUGACACCAUUAAUUAAGAUCAAGGCACACCCCCCCCACCCGCUUAAAACUUUCCCUGAGCCUCCAGUCAUCUGUAGCCCCUUCACCCUGGCCACCAAAGCCCUACUGGAUCCAGCCCCACCCUCCCCCUCCUAACUCAUCUCCUACUGCUCUCCUCCUCCCUCUCUACUGGUGUCUUUAACGUGUCAAGCUCAUUCGUACCUCAGGGCCUUUGCACUUGCUGUUCCCUCUGCCUGUAAGUCUUUCCGCCAAGAUCCUCGCACAGCCAGCUCACCUCAUCAUGCAGAUCUCAGCUCAAAUGUCACCUUCUCAGAAAGGCCUGCCCCAACCUUCCCCCACAGCCACUCUUAGCUCCAUUAGCCUGUUUUAUUUUUUCCAAAGCACUUAGUAUGAUCUGAACUUAUACUUUUUAUGUUUAUGCUCCACAUGAGGAGGGAAACUCACUCUUGCUCACUGCUCUGGGCACUGCCUGUUCAUAUACGGGUGCAUAUGCAGAUAGAGGAGAAGCCUUCAUUUGUGUUUUCUUCUUCUGUACGUUGUUGCCACCUCGCUCCGUGUCAGCCUCGCACCAGCCUGCUCGUAGAAGGGGUGGCUCAUCUGACCUUCCCUGAGCCUGCCUGUCGUUUUGGAGGGAAGAGUGAUGAUGGCUGCAGAGGCCUGCACUGUGCUUGGCCACAGAUGUCCAAGCUGUCCCCAGUCUAUGCCGGGGACCCAGCUGAUAGCCCAAUCCCUUGUCACUAUCCCCCUAGGGAUUCCUUCUGCUGUCUCUCCUGGUUUGGGUCUCCUGGGCCCGUGUCUCUGGUAUUUUCUUUCUUGGUUUGCUCCCUUGUUGUUGUGGAGCACGAGCCCCUGAGGCGUCCUGAGGCAGAGUGGAAGAGAGUCCAAUUUCUUGAGAUCCUGCGGGCCUGCAGACGUCUCUCUCUCCUCUCAUCUGACUGAUAGUUUGCCUGGGUUUAGAAUCUGGUGUGGAAAUGCUUUCCUUUCAGAGCCUUGAGAGCGUUACUCCACGCCUUCUAGCCUCUCUGGAAACUUGUAGACUCUUUUUGUUCCCAGGCCUUUGAAAGUUUGCAGCAAUGUGCUUCGGUGUGGGUCUGUUUUCAUCCACCACUGUGAGCAAUUUUGGUCAUUUCAAUACAAAAAUGCGUGUCCUUCAUUUCUGAGACAUUUUCUUGAGUUAUUUCCUUUACAAUUUCUUUCUCUCUGUUUUCUCUCUUUAACACAUCUUGCUCAGGUGUUGAAUCUCUUGACUUGAUUGUCAAUGUUCUUACCUUUCCUCUCCUAGUUUCCAUUUCCUUCUCUUUUUUCUCUGUUUUCCGGGAGAUUUCCUUACUUGUGCCUUCUAAUCCAUCUCUUCUUUUUUUAGAAAUCAAUUUUUCCCGCUUUUAAUUUCCAAGAACUCUCUUUUAAUUCUCUAUUCUCUGAAUGUGCCUUUUAUUAGAGCUUCAUGGUUGUAAUCUCUUCUCGUAUCUCCCUGAGAUCAUUAAUAAUCUUUAAAGAUUUUCUUCACCUUGCAUGGUCUCUGUUUCUGGACGCUGUUUUCCUGUUUGUCUGCUUUGUUCCCUCUAUCGCAUGAUAGAGUGUCCCUCAGAUGUCAGGUGACCUGAGCUUCACCAGAUCAUGAUUAAGUACCAAAUGCUGGUCGGAAGCUCCGAGACCUUGAUGGGCCGCUGGUGGGGGGCUCCACUGGUGUCAGUACCUUGAGGUCUUUCACUUGGGGCUGGACAGAGUCCCUGGGAAAACUCUUUCAGUCUCCUGCCUGGAGAAUAGUCUAGCCUGAUGGCUUCUGGAGCAGAGUAGGGCCAAGAGCUGGGUGGGGGUCGCAGCAUCCUGUACCCCGUGUUUCCAGUAGAGUAGCUGAGCUCUUAGCUGGGCCUUGCUUCCUUCGUCCAGAGAAUAAAUCCUGGACUUUUGCUGAGGAAGGGAGGGGUGAUUACCUAACAUUUUGGAGUGAGGUUGGGAAUCCAGUUUUCAGAAGCUUUUGCUCUGCUCUCUCUUGUUUUAACUGCUAUUCAUCCCCAUUUCCAGGUGUAUCCAGGGCUGCACAUUCCUGAUGCUUUGCAGGCUCUGGGGUGAGAACAGACUUGAGUCUCUUCUAGAGAAUCAAACAGCCUGCUGUUCUGCCUCUCUGGGACCUCUCGGUCAGCCCCACUGUGUGCUGUGCCUGUUCCUGGUCUGCGAAACAGCCGUGACCAAGCCAAAGUCCCAGUUCUCACAGAGCUCAAGGACGUUCUAGCAGGAAGAAUAAGCAUGUAUGUAACACAGGUGAAAAAACAGGGUAAUUUUCGGAAGUGGCAAGUGUUUUGAAGGGUGAGAGUGAGUGGCUGUAGGAGGGGGCUGCUUUGGGUUGGCACCCAGGGGGCCUCUCUGAGGGGCUGGCAUUUGAGCAGGGACUCGAAUGGUGCAAGAGGCUUGCAUUCCAGGGGGAAGCAGCCACCUAAAGGCCUUGCCCGAGGUGGGUGAGGCAUGGUGCACAGGAUUUUUUGGUUUUAAAUUUUUUUUAAUUGUGGUAAAAUACACAUAACGUAAAAUUUAUUGUCUUAACCAUUUAGAUGUGUGCAGCUGAGUGAAUGCACAGGUUUUGAAGAAGUUUUUUGAACCCCUGGAUCCAGCAGUAACUGAAGCAGUUACAACCCCCUGACUUUCAGUUACAGGAGCCAAUAGUCACCCCAUCUAGACCAAGUUUGAGUUGGACCCUCUGCCACUGGCUCCUCGAGACCUGAUACAAUCAAUGUUGUUGGGUAAGCAAAUAGGAGAGUCUCCCAUUGCGUGGACAGGCCACAGCUUCUUGAGCCAGCCCCCUCCUGGGGCCACCUGAGUUGCUCACAUCUUUUGCUGUCACGGUGCAGCAAGGACCUCAUACGUGUGCCUUCUCAUACAUACAAAGUGGAGCAUCCGUGCAAUGUAUCAAGUGAGAAAAUAGAUACAGAACUGUCUAUAAGAUAUGUUAUGUUUUGCACAAGAAAGAGGGAAAAUCAGAAUAUGUCUUCAUGUUUGUUAUACUUCCAUAAAGAUAUCCUGGACAGAUAGACAAAAAACUAAUAAACUUACCUGCCUUUGUGGUUGGUGGGGGGCUAGGGAACUCGAUGAUAGGGGCAGAGGUGGGAGAGAGACCUCCCCCUUCACCCUUUAGCCUUGUUUUGCUUUUAGAACCAUGUGAUUGCAUUACUUGGUUUAAGACAACAAAAAGUAGCAGUGGAACGGAGCUGUGACCCAAAACCUAAAGAUGGCAGUUGGUGUCCGAAUUUGGAAACUGCUCCCUAUUGUGGCCUUGGGCUGUCUCUUAUGCCCAGACUAUUCCUUCAUCCGCGGGGGCCAACAGGGAGCUGGGAAGAGAAUGGGGGUGACACCUGCAAAUACAGACCCCCACUCUCCUGUGUGCGCGUGCCUGCCGGCAGCCAGCAGCUCACAUAGCCACCUACAGCAUCCUGUUUCUCGUCCACUUUCUCCUGGGGUGUGGGUGAGGGCACAUCUUGCAGAAACAGGACACUUUAAAUCCUCCCCCAGCACAGAAGACUCCAGAGGGGCCUGCCCGGGUUAUGGAACUGUCAGAUGACAGGCCACGUUGGCACCGUUCCUGCACUCACGUAGAUGUCACCUGUUCACCAGCGCAGCCACAACCUGCCCCACGCACGGAAAGGCCGCAGAGCAGCCCACACCUGUGUCCCCGGACCCCUGCACCUUGUGGAGGCUGAACCAGGCACACACCUUCAACCCUCCGCUCUGCAGCCGGAAUGAGGGCCUUGGGGUUUGGUGAGAGAGCUGAGGAGCCAGUGGCUGGGGGAGGGCCACGUGCCCAUUCUGUCUCCAACUGCCUUUGUUCGAGAAUAAACACGCCAGGGCCGCCUCCCCCCACCCGAAAGCUGCUUCUACUGGAGAGAGAAAUCGUUUACAAUCUCUGCUUUAGAUGUACAAAAAGUCUGAAAUUGCUUGGAGACCAGGCGGGAGGGAACCUGGGUGAGGCUUGGGGGAUCCGGGCGGGUAAUUGCAGGUCAUCUAUCUGCCUCUGUCAGCGCGCGCCUGCUCAGCAAGCGUUUA